AUACGUAGGGGGCGAGCGUUGUCCGGAAUGAUUGGGCGUAAAGGGCGCGUAGGCGGCCAGGUAAGUCUGGAGUGAAAGUCCUGUUUUUAAGAUGGGAAUUGCUUUGGAUACUGUCGGGCUUGAGUGCAGGAGAGGUAAGUGGAAUUCCCAGUGUAGCGGUGAAAUGCGUAGAGAUUGGGAGGAACACCAGUGGCGAAGGCGAAUUACUGGACUGUAACUGACACUGAAGCACGAAAGUGUGGGGAACAAAUAGGAUUAUAUACCCCGGGAGUCCACACUGUAAACGGGGAAUGCUAGGUGUAGGGGGUAUCGACCCCUUCUGUGCCGCAGUCAACACAAUUAGGUUACCGCCUGGGGUGUUCGUCCGCAAGGUGGAAACUCAAAUGAAUUGACGGGG
This 397-nucleotide ribosomal RNA is filed under the name uncultured bacterium. RNAcentral's name for it is "partial 16S ribosomal RNA". It matches the Rfam family "Bacterial small subunit ribosomal RNA", at positions 523 to 918 of the family's 1533-position model. The record is from RNAcentral.